GUGCCAGCAGCCGCGGUAAUUCCAGCUCCAAUAGCGUAUAUUAAAGUUGUUGUGGUUAAAAAGCUCGUAGUUGAACCUUGGGCCUGGCUGGCCGGUCCGCCUCACCGCGUGCACUGGUCCGGCCGGGCCUUUCCCUCUGUGGAACCCCAUACCCUUCACUGGGCGUGGCGGGGAAACAGGACAUUUACUUUGAAAAAAUUAGAGUGCUCCAGGCAGGCCUAUGCUCGAAUACAUUAGCAUGGAAUAAUAAAAUAGGACGCGCGGUUCUAUUUUGUUGGUUUAUAGGACCGCCGUAAUGAUUAAUAGGGACAGUCGGGGGCAUCAGUAUUCAACUGUCAGAGGUGAAAUUCUUGGAUCAGUUGAAGACUAACUACUGCGAAAGCAUUUGCCAAGGAUGUUUUCAUUAAUCAGGAACGAAAGUUAGGGGAUCGAAGACGAUCAGAUACCGUCGUAGUCUUAACCAUAAACUAUGCCGACUAGGGAUCGGACGGUGUUAUUCAUGACCCGUUCGGCACCUUACGAGAAAUCAAAGUGCUUGGGCUCCAGGGGGAGUAUGGUCGCAAGGCUGAAACUUAAAGAAAUUGACGGAAGGGCACCACCAGGGGUGGAGCCUGCGGCUUAAUUUGACUCAACACGGGGAAACUCACCAGGUCCAGACACAAUAAGGAUUGACAGAUUGAGAGCUCUUUCUUGAUUUUGUGGGUGGUGGUGCAUGGCCGUUCUUAGUUGGUGGGGUGACUUGUCUGCUUAAUUGCGAUAACGAACGAGGCCUUAACCUGCUAAAUAGCCCGCAUUGCUCCGGCAGUGCGCUGGCUUCUUAGAGGGGAC
RNAcentral lists this ribosomal RNA (828 nucleotides) under uncultured fungus. RNAcentral's name for it is "SSU rRNA". It matches the Rfam family "Eukaryotic small subunit ribosomal RNA", at positions 564 to 1421 of the family's 1831-position model. The record is from RNAcentral. Lineage: Eukaryota; Fungi.